Molecule: long non-coding RNA, 540 nt
Organism: Girardinichthys multiradiatus
Lineage: Eukaryota; Metazoa; Chordata; Actinopteri; Cyprinodontiformes; Goodeidae
Exons: 3
Source: RefSeq, a predicted model, not a curated record
CUUUUUUUGCUGCAGCUCUCUAAAGUGGAGCAUUGGGGAUUCUUUUUUAUCAAUCCUUCUAUCUUUACUGUGUCUGGUGGCAAGAUAAACGUGGGCUCUUGUCCUGCUGCGUUUCUCACAGUGUUCUUACAUUUGAGUGGCAAGGGUAACUACAAGAUGAUCGUUCAAAGACCUGCAACCCUGACAGUGACAGGGUCAUGGGGGGGAGCUGGUGCCUAUUUCCAGCAGUCAUUGGGCGAGAAGAGGGGUACACCCUGGGAAGGUCAUCAGUCACCUAUCACAGGAAAGCCUAAGUGUACAUGCAUGGGAAGAACAUGCAAACACCAUGCAGGAAGACCACAGGCUGGGACCCGAACCCUGGACCUUCUUGCUGCAAGGCAACAGUGCUACCAACUGCACCACUCUGCAGCCCAGCAUUGAAUAAGUUGGUUCUAUCACAAACUAAAACAAUUUUUGUGAGUUAUAUAACUGUAACUGAUCACAUCUUUUCUUUUUUUCAAUUCACAGCUGCUACUGUAUAUGAGCAGGAUGUGUUUGGAA